GAUGAACGCUGGCGGCGUGCCUAAUACAUGCAAGUCGAGCGAACAGACGAGGAGCUUGCUCCUCUGACGUUAGCGGCGGACGGGUGAGUAAUACGUGGAUAACCUACCUAUAAGACUGGGAUAACUUCGGGAAACCGGAGCUAAUACCGGAUAAUAUAUUGAACCGCAUGGUUCAAUAGUGAAAGACGGUUUUGCUGUCACUUAUAGAUGGAUCCGCGCCGCAUUAGCUAGUUGGUAAGGUAACGGCUUACCAAGGCAACGAUGCGUAGCCGACCUGAGAGGGUGAUCGGCCACACUGGAACUGAGACACGGUCCAGACUCCUACGGGAGGCAGCAGUAGGGAAUCUUCCGCAAUGGGCGAAAGCCUGACGGAGCAACGCCGCGUGAGUGAUGAAGGUCUUCGGAUCGUAAAACUCUGUUAUUAGGGAAGAACAAAUGUGUAAGUAACUAUGCACGUCUUGACGGUACCUACUCAGAAAGCCACGGCUAACUACGUG
RNAcentral lists this ribosomal RNA (497 nucleotides) under uncultured bacterium. Its description in RNAcentral is "partial 16S ribosomal RNA". It matches the Rfam family "Bacterial small subunit ribosomal RNA", at positions 28 to 507 of the family's 1533-position model. The record is from RNAcentral.